UGCCCUGUGGUGUAAUGGUAGCACACGGCCCUUUGGAGGCCAGAGUUCAGGUUCGAGUCCUGACGGGGCAG
Molecule: transfer RNA, 71 nt
Filed under: Omnitrophica bacterium RIFCSPHIGHO2_02_FULL_63_14
Lineage: Bacteria; Pseudomonadati; Candidatus Omnitrophota
Description: tRNA-Gln
Rfam family: tRNA
About the family: Transfer RNA (tRNA) molecules are approximately 80 nucleotides in length.
Source: RNAcentral